This 488-nucleotide ribosomal RNA is filed under the name uncultured bacterium. Its description in RNAcentral is "partial 16S ribosomal RNA". It matches the Rfam family "Bacterial small subunit ribosomal RNA", at positions 28 to 507 of the family's 1533-position model. The record is from RNAcentral.
GAUGAACGCUAGCGGCAGGCCUAAUACAUGCAAGUCGGACGGGAUCCAUUGAUAGCUUGCUAUCAAUGGUGAGAGUGGCGCACGGGUGCGUAACGCGUGAGCAACCUGCCUCCAUCAGGGGGAUAGCCUCUCGAAAGAGAGAUUAACACCGCAUAAUAUCAACAGUUCGCAUGUUCAGUUGAUUAAAUAUUUAUAGGAUGGAGAUGGGCUCGCGUGACAUUAGCUAGUUGGUAGGGUAACGGCUUACCAAGGCGACGAUGUCUAGGGGCUCUGAGAGGAGAAUCCCCCACACUGGUACUGAGACACGGACCAGACUCCUACGGGAGGCAGCAGUAAGGAAUAUUGGUCAAUGGGCGGAAGCCUGAACCAGCCAUGCCGCGUGCAGGAUGACUGCCCUAUGGGUUGUAAACUGCUUUUGUCCAGGAAUAAACCUAAAUACGAGUAUUUAGCUGAAGGUACUGGAAGAAUAAGGAUCGGCUAACUCCGUG